ACCGGAUCGGGAUGCAGUGACCUCCGAGGGCGCCGAACGGUCGCCUGGGGCAAUACGUGCCCCGCCCUCCGAGCGAGCGAGUGGUGAGACCGACCCGCAAGCGG
Molecule: non-coding RNA, 104 nt
Filed under: unclassified sequences
Description: c-di-GMP sequence
Rfam family: c-di-GMP-II-GAG riboswitch aptamer
Source: Rfam by way of RNAcentral